AAACCCUAACUCAACAAUAUUCAUCAAAUUGAAGGGUGAAUUGAAGCUCAAAUUAUCAACCGAACGUGAAUUAGUGAUCACCAACACAAGGGGAUCAUAAGGCAUAAGGAUCAUGUGGAAAUGUACUCAAGCAAGAAAUGCAAAAGGGUCAAAAGGAGGCAAGGGAACGGACGCAAAAAGGUUGUACGGGUCACGGAGGAUCAUCAAGGAAUAAAGAUCGAGGACUGAGUCACAUGAAGGAUUGUACGGGGUUGUCUAAGGAUGUAAUUUGUUAUACAUAAGUUAUGAUUUAUUCUAUAAUUCAGUUAG
Helianthus annuus (common sunflower) is the source of this 309-nucleotide long non-coding RNA. RefSeq lists it as uncharacterized. Lineage: Eukaryota; Viridiplantae; Streptophyta; Magnoliopsida; Asterales; Asteraceae. The record is from RefSeq and is a predicted model, not a curated record. The transcript is spliced from 3 exons.